This 481-nucleotide long non-coding RNA is filed under the name Hordeum vulgare. RNAcentral's name for it is "long non-coding RNA (HVUL_LNC000266)". The record is from RNAcentral. Lineage: Eukaryota; Viridiplantae; Streptophyta; Magnoliopsida; Poales; Poaceae.
AUCCAUCUUGACUUCGGCUAGAAGUGAGUUAUAUUGAGCUUAGUGAUGCAUGGUUACAUAUAGAUAGAAGAACUUGAUAGUUUGUUGUCUCCACAUUUUUUUAAGGGGACACCUAUUUUUUAUUUAUUUUAAGGUCUUAUAUUUUAGUUUAAAGAACACCUCUGAAUUUUCAUUGGAAAUGAAAUGAGCUAUUAUAACUACCACGGAACUUGAUUAUUUUUGUGUACUUUGAGAUCUACAUCUUGAAGAAAAAACCAUGAAAUAUUUGGUAUACAAGGAGUUACAGCACUACCAUGUACCUUCAUUCUUUUAGUACUCAACGUAUUUAGCUUGAGAUCUUCAAUUUUUUCCCAAACCAAAAAGCAACUCCGAAUACCGGUUGAUGUAAUACUGCUCUAAUCAGGCUUGUCUAUCAUUACCCAUAAAAUGGAUGGACUUUUGGGCUGAAGUUUGUUGGAAUUUGAGAUGGGGAUAGGAAACA